CCUACGUGAGGCAGCAGUGAGGAAUAUUGGUCAAUGGGCGCGAGCCUGAACCAGCCAAGUAGCGUACAGGAUGACUGCCCUACGGGUUGUAACCUUCUUUUAUCAAGGAAUACAGUGAGGCACGUGUGCCUUUUUGUCUGUACUUUAUGAAUAAGGAUCGGCCAACUCCGUGCCAGCAGCCGCGGUAAUACGGAGGAUCCGAGCGUUAUCCGGAUUUAUUGGGUGUAAAGGGAGCGUAGAUGGGUUGUUAAGUCAGUUGUGAAAGUUUGAGGCUCAACCGUAAAAUUGCAAUUGAUACUGGCAGUCUUGAGUACAGUUGAGGUAGGCGGAAUUCGUGGUGUAGCGGUGAAAUGCUUAGAUAUCACGAAGAACCCCGAUUGCGAAGGCAGCUUACUAAACUGUGACUGACAUUGAUGCUCGAAAGUGUGGGUAUCAAACAGGAUUAGAUACCCUUGUAGUC
Molecule: ribosomal RNA, 460 nt
Filed under: uncultured bacterium
Lineage: Bacteria
Description: partial 16S ribosomal RNA
Rfam family: Bacterial small subunit ribosomal RNA
Source: RNAcentral